Molecule: ribosomal RNA, 486 nt
Filed under: uncultured bacterium
Lineage: Bacteria
Description: partial 16S ribosomal RNA
Rfam family: Bacterial small subunit ribosomal RNA
Source: RNAcentral
AUUGAACGCUGGCGGCAUGCCUUACACAUGCAAGUCGAACGGCAGCACGGGUGCUUGCACCUGGUGGCGAGUGGCGAACGGGUGAGUAAUACAUCGGAACAUGUCCUGUAGUGGGGGAUAGCCCGGCGAAAGCCGGAUUAAUACCGCAUACGAUCUACGGAUGAAAGCGGGGGACCUUCGGGCCUCGCGCUAUCGGGUUGGCCGAUGGCUGAUUAGCUAGUUGGUGGGGUAAAGGCCUACCAAGGCGACGAUCAGUAGCUGGUCUGAGAGGACGACCAGCCACACUGGGACUGAGACACGGCCCAGACUCCUACGGGAGGCAGCAGUGGGGAAUUUUGGACAAUGGGCGAAAGCCUGAUCCAGCAAUGCCGCGUGUGUGGAGAAGGCCUUCGGGUUGUAAAGCACUUUUGUCCGGAAAGAAAUCCUUGGCCCUAAUACGGUCGGGGGAUGACGGUACCGGAAGAAUAAGCACCGGCUAACUACGUG